GGUUAAGUUAGAAAGGGCGCACGGUGGAUGCCUUGACACUAGGAGUCGAUGAAGGACGGGACUAACGCCGAUAUGCUUCGGGGAGCUGUAAGUAAGCUUUGAUCCGAAGAUUUCCGAAUGGGGAAACCCACCAUACGUAAUGGUAUGGUAUCCUUAUCUGAAUACAUAGGGUAAGGAAGACAGACCCAGGGAACUGAAACAUCUAAGUACCUGGAGGAAGAGAAAGCAAAUGCGAUUUCCUGAGUAGCGGCGAGCGAAACGGAACAUAGCCCAAACCAAGAGGCUUGCCUCUUGGGGUUGUAGGACAUUCUAUACGGAGUUACAAAGGAACGAGGUAGACGAAGCGACCUGGAAAGGUCCGUCGUAGAGGGUAACAACCCCGUAGUCGAAACUUCGUUCUCUCUUGAAUGUAUCCUGAGUACGGCGGAACACGUGAAAUUCCGUCGGAAUCUGGGAGGACCAUCUCCCAAGGCUAAAUACUCCCUAGUGAUCGAUAGUGAACCAGUACCGUGAGGGAAAGGUGAAAAGCACCCCGGAAGGGGAGUGAAAGAGAUCCUGAAACCGUGUGCCUACAAAUAGUCAGAGCCCGUUAACGGGUGAUGGCGUGCCUUUUGUAGAAUGAACCGGCGAGUUACGAUCCCGUGCGAGGUUAAGCUGAAGAGGCGGAGCCGCAGCGAAAGCGAGUCUGAAUAGGGCGUUUAGUACGUGGUCGUAGACCCGAAACCAGGUGAUCUACCCAUGUCCAGGGUGAAGUUCAGGUAACACUGAAUGGAGGCCCGAACCCACGCACGUUGAAAAGUGCGGGGAUGAGGUGUGGGUAGCGGAGAAAUUCCAAUCGAACCUGGAGAUAGCUGGUUCUCCCCGAAAUAGCUUUAG
RNAcentral lists this ribosomal RNA (876 nucleotides) under Bacillus anthracis (anthrax bacterium). RNAcentral describes it as "partial 23S ribosomal RNA". It matches the Rfam family "Bacterial large subunit ribosomal RNA", at positions 1 to 873 of the family's 2925-position model. The record is from RNAcentral. Lineage: Bacteria; Bacillati; Bacillota; Bacilli; Caryophanales; Bacillaceae.